This 253-nucleotide ribosomal RNA is filed under the name uncultured bacterium. RNAcentral's name for it is "partial 16S ribosomal RNA". It matches the Rfam family "Bacterial small subunit ribosomal RNA", at positions 524 to 776 of the family's 1533-position model. The record is from RNAcentral.
CACGUAGGGCGCAAGCGUUGUCCGGAAUUAUUGGGCGUAAAGAGCUCGUAGGCGGUCUGUUGCGUCCGCUGUGAAAACUCGGGGCUUAACCCCGAGCCUGCAGUGGAUACGGGCAGACUAGAGGUAGGUAGGGGAGACUGGAAUUCCUGGUGUAGCGGUGAAAUGCGUAGAUAUCGGGAGGAACACCAGAGGCGAAGGCGGGCUACUGGGCUGAUACUGACGCUGAUGCGCGAAAGCCAGGGGAGCAAACGGG